AUCCCAGGGGUGCUGGUGUUACCGGCUGAGAGUGAGGAUUGAAUCCUUAGACCCUAGUUGUACCUGAUCUGGUCAAUGCCAGCGUAGGAAGAGGUUGCAA
RNAcentral lists this non-coding RNA (100 nucleotides) under uncultured Clostridium sp. The record is from RNAcentral. Lineage: Bacteria; Bacillati; Bacillota; Clostridia; Eubacteriales; Clostridiaceae.